GCUGAAUAUCCAUGUCGUCAUUCAGCCACGAUUCCGUGAAACAUAGGAUAUUACAGUUUUUGAUGUCCCAUUGGUAGGAUAUUACCUCGUCUAGUUUAUUGUCCAAUGAUUGCACGUUGGCGAGUAAUAUUGACGGUAACGGCAGCUUUCCUAGUUGUCUUCUGCAGCUCCGGACGAGGCAUCCGGCUCUCCUUCCUCUGCGUCGCUUUCCUUUUGCGAAUAAUUGGGAUGUCUGCCCUGUGGGGUGUUUAGAGAAUAUCGUGUGAAUACUACUUGCUGCUGUUGUUGUUGUUGUUGAUGAAAUCUUUGUCUAAUCCGAGGGUAAGGCGAGUGGCUUGAAUCAACGUCCACAGUCCUGUAAUAGAUGGGUCCGAUUAGCAGCAUGUGUGUGUAUUACACGCAGAUCCAUGGUUGAGUGGUGUAACGCUGUGAUUUGGAAGGUCACAUGUGGGUAGAAGGGCUCCGGAUUCAGAGAAGACGAGCUCCUCAAAAACCCAUUACACAGAGAUCUGGACAGGGGGCAAGUGGGUAAGGACCCCCAAGAGGUUCCCCCAUACUCUCACUAAAGGGGAUUAAAGACAGUCAAGACACUGAUAAGGACGAAGGUUCUGGAAUUAAGCAACUCAACGCCUUGGUUGACUUAGCAUUCUGGCUACGUCCAGAAGCCUCAGUGCAUUGUGGGCCUAGCUGUCAGACCCAUCUGUCACCACCUCCUUCCACCCUCUCCACGGCACACGUACUCCACAGCCUGGCCAGGGACAGCCAUGCACAUUCCACAUGGGCGGUGCAGCUGUGGGGUCCCCUCGAUCCUCUCCAGAGUGACUUUCCCCUCCAAAGCUCCAGAGUGCUCUCCGUCUGUGCUCACCACUGCAUGACACGCCAAAUGGAGAGGAACAGAAUUUGGGGAGUGUGUUUGUUUGUGUGUGUGUGUGAGGGAGAGGGGUGUGUGUGUGUGUUCAUGCAUUCAUCCAUUAGUGCGUGCAUGCGUGCAUGUGUAUGUGUGUGUGAUGGCCCCAGCUGUUACCAUUAUCCAAUAUGCUGUACUGUAUCCCUGGCCAGAGGAACG
Molecule: long non-coding RNA, 1066 nt
Organism: Oncorhynchus masou masou (cherry salmon)
Lineage: Eukaryota; Metazoa; Chordata; Actinopteri; Salmoniformes; Salmonidae
Exons: 3
Source: RefSeq, a predicted model, not a curated record